GAGGGUAUAGCUCAGUGGUAGAGCCCAUGCGUAGCAUGCAUGAGGUCCUGGGUUCAAUCCCCAGAACCUCCA
This 72-nucleotide transfer RNA is filed under the name Camelus ferus (Wild Bactrian camel). It matches the Rfam family "tRNA". Rfam says of the family: Transfer RNA (tRNA) molecules are approximately 80 nucleotides in length. Their secondary structure includes four short double-helical elements and three loops (D, anti-codon, and T loops). Further hydrogen bonds mediate the characteristic L-shaped molecular structure. tRNAs have two regions of fundamental functional importance: the anti-codon, which is responsible for specific mRNA codon recognition, and the 3' end, to which the tRNAs corresponding amino acid is attached (by aminoacyl-tRNA synthetases). tRNAs cope with the degeneracy of the genetic code in two manners: having more than one tRNA (with a specific anti-codon) for a particular amino acid; and 'wobble' base-pairing, i.e. permitting non-standard base-pairing at the 3rd anti-codon position. The record is from Rfam by way of RNAcentral. Lineage: Eukaryota; Metazoa; Chordata; Mammalia; Artiodactyla; Camelidae.